RNAcentral lists this ribosomal RNA (492 nucleotides) under uncultured bacterium. RNAcentral describes it as "partial 16S ribosomal RNA". It matches the Rfam family "Bacterial small subunit ribosomal RNA", at positions 29 to 507 of the family's 1533-position model. The record is from RNAcentral.
AGUGAACGCUGGCGGUAGGCCUAACACAUGCAAGUCGAACGGCAGCACAGUAAGAGCUUGCUCUUACGGGUGGCGAGUGGCGGACGGGUGAGGAAUACAUCGGAAUCUACUUUUUCGUGGGGGAUAACGUAGGGAAACUUACGCUAAUACCGCAUACGCCCUACGGGUGAAAGCAGGGGAUCUUCGGACCUUGCGCGAUUGAAUGAGCCGAUGUCGGAUUAGCUAGUCGGCGGGGUAAAGGCCCACCAAGGCGACGAUCCGUAGCUGGUCUGAGAGGAUGAUCAGCCACACUGGAACUGAGACACGGUCCAGACUCCUACGGGAGGCAGCAGUGGGGAAUAUUGGACAAUGGGCGCAAGCCUGAUCCAGCCAUACCGCGUGGGUGAAGAAGGCCUUCGGGUUGUAAAGCCCUUUUGUUGGGAAAGAAAAGCAGCAGGUUAAUACCCCGCUGUUCUGACGGUACCCAAAGAAUAAGCACCGGCUAACUUCGUG